This 988-nucleotide long non-coding RNA is filed under the name Homo sapiens (human). Its description in RNAcentral is "long intergenic non-protein coding RNA 662". Lineage: Eukaryota; Metazoa; Chordata; Mammalia; Primates; Hominidae. The record is from RNAcentral.
GGAACCGCCUAAGACACCACCCCAGCCAGCAUGGCCGGCAGGAGCGCACCGCGCUGUCUCCCUCCAGGGAUCCGCACCGCCCUACAAUCCUGCUUUGUGCUGAGAUUGUAGUCCUGCAGGCGUACAACUAACAAGCUGGGUGCAGAUAAGAGACUACAGCUCCCCGCAUCCCAAGCAAAGGUCCCUCCUCUACGGAGCCCCUCCACGCGUCCACUGCGGUUCCGCCGUGCCAAGGGGAGCUUGGCUGUUCACGGGCCUCACCUGCUAGCGAGAAGAUAGCUUGGCCGGGCGGCUGAUCUCACCUUGUAAUUCUGACACUGUGUCUCCCGGGCUUGUCGGCUUCAUGACUUGUGCCCAAAGUUUGAUUUCUCGCAGACCAGGUAAAAGCCAAGAGGCUCUCAUAGGCGCCUUGGCAGAGUUGCCAUUGGAACGGGCGUCCUCUAGUAGCUGGGAUCUCCCCGCCCCUUCCUCCUGAGGGGCCACUCCUUUCUGCCCCACCCUUCUUAUUGCCCCACCCUUUGCCACACUCCUUCAGAGAUGCGCAGUGCUGCCCCUUUCUAUGGGCAGGGCCGAAGGUCCGCGUGUAAAAGUACCCAGUCCCUGGUAACCUGACACUUCCCUUUUAAAAGCCACCUUUUGUCUAUCUCUGGCCUGCCACGAUUCUUCCUGUGCUCCAUAGGAGGACCCAUUGGACCCCCGGGCUGGCUGCAGGGCCCACACCUGGGUUAGACCUCGCACAGGGACGCUGCUGCCACUGUAAUAAAGCGUGCCUACACGCUUCUGAAACUGGUGUAGGAACAACCUCAGUUCUGUGAAAGGCGGACGCAGCAGGACAGAAUCUCCGUGGACAUCUGUCUGGAGGAGCAAUUUUACUGCGACAUUUUAAAGAAACAAAUUUAAUUGAUUUCCAAGGUAAGAAAUUAAACCUUGAAAACUAAACUGAAAAGUCAUCUGUGUUUGACAAGUCAGACUUUCUCCAAGAAGAAAA